GCGGGAACAGAAUUAAGGACUACAGGAUUCCCCUAGUAAUGGCGAAUGAAGCGGGAAGAGCUCAAAUUUGAAAUCUGCGUCGGGUUCGACGCCGAAUUGUAGUUUCGAGAAGCACUUUCUCGGCGGGUCCGGUCGCGUCCAAGUCGCUUGGAACGGCGCGUCACAGAGGGUGAGAGCCCCGUGCGUGGCGCGAUCGGCCGUCCACGAUGUGCUUUCGACGAGUCGGGUUGUUUGGGAAUGCAGCCCAAAAUGGGUGGUAAACUCCAUCUAAAGCUAAAUACUGGCACGAGACCGAUAGCGAACAAGUACCGUGAGGGAAAGAUGAAAAGCACUUUGAAAAGAGAGUUAAACAGUACGUGAAACCGUUAAAAGGGAAACGGAUGGGGUCAGCAAUGCGCUGCGCGAGAUUCAGCCGGUUGGUGUGUCGGCCGGGCGGGCCGGGCGGAUCCCUGUGGACCGCCGCCGUCCGGGUCGGCGCUCCGACCGUCGCACUUCUCGCCAGUGCGCGUCAGCGUCGGUUGGGACCGGGUCUCAAGGGCGCGAGCAAGGUGGGUCGGCCCCUUCGGGGGCCGAUCGUUAUAGGCUCGCGUCGCCCGGCCCGGGCCCGACCGAGGUGUCGCGGUUCGUGCCUCCCUUUCCAGGGCUGGCUGGGGUCCCCUCUUGCCGGUCGGCGGUCGACUGUGGCGGACUGCGUGCAGUGCGCCGAGACAGCCGUCGGUCGCCUUGGGGGUGAUCACGCACAUACGGACCAAGGACGCUGGCGGUCAAAUGGCCUCAUUCGACCCGUCUUGAAACACGGACCAAGGAGUCUAACAUGUGCGCGAGUCUUCGAGUGAUUGAAGCUCGCCGGCGUAAUGAAAGUGAAGGCGGCUUUCGGGCCGCCGAGGCGAGAGCUCCGGCCUUCGCGGUCGGGGCGCAUCGUCGACCGACCUAUUCCGCUCUCGGGAAGGUUGAGUGAGAGCGCACCUGUUGGACCCGAAAG
This 982-nucleotide ribosomal RNA is filed under the name Adamsia palliata (cloak anemone). RNAcentral's name for it is "eukaryotic LSU rRNA". It matches the Rfam family "Eukaryotic large subunit ribosomal RNA", at positions 52 to 822 of the family's 3401-position model. The record is from RNAcentral. Lineage: Eukaryota; Metazoa; Cnidaria; Anthozoa; Actiniaria; Hormathiidae.